This 498-nucleotide ribosomal RNA is filed under the name uncultured bacterium. RNAcentral describes it as "partial 16S ribosomal RNA". It matches the Rfam family "Bacterial small subunit ribosomal RNA", at positions 28 to 507 of the family's 1533-position model. The record is from RNAcentral.
GACGAACGCUGGCGGCGCGCCUAAUACAUGCAAGUCGAACGAGAGCGACCGGUGCUUGCACUGGUCAAUCUAGUGGCGAACGGGUGAGUAACACGUGGGUAACCUGCCCAUCAGAGGGGGAUAACAUCCGGAAACGGAUGCUAAAACCGCAUAGGUCUUCGAACCGCAUGGUUUGAAGAGGAAAAGAGGCGCAAGCUUCUGCUGAUGGAUGGACCCGCGGUGCAUUAGCUAGUUGGUGAGGUAACGGCUCACCAAGGCCGUGAUGCAUAGCCGACCUGAGAGGGUGAUCGGCCACAUUGAGACUGAGACACGGCCCAAACUCCUACGGGAGGCAGCAGUAGGGAAUCUUCCGCAAUGGACGCAAGUCUGACGGAGCAACGCCGCGUGAGUGAAGAAGGUUUUCGGAUCGUAAAACUCUGUUGUUAGAGAAGAACAAGUGCUAGAGUAACUGUUAGCGCCUUGACGGUAUCUAACCAGAAAGCCACGGCUAACUACGUG